RNAcentral lists this ribosomal RNA (497 nucleotides) under uncultured bacterium. Its description in RNAcentral is "partial 16S ribosomal RNA". It matches the Rfam family "Bacterial small subunit ribosomal RNA", at positions 28 to 507 of the family's 1533-position model. The record is from RNAcentral.
GAUGAACGCUGGCGGCGUGCCUAAUACAUGCAAGUCGAGCGAACAGACGAGGAGCUUGCUCCUCUGACGUUAGCGGCGGACGGGUGAGUAACACGUGGAUAACCUACCUAUAAGACUGGGAUAACUUCGGGAAACCGGAGCUAAUACCGGAUAAUAUAUUGAACCGCAUGGUUCAAUAGUGAAAGACGGUUUUGCUGUCACUUAUAGAUGGAUCCGCGCCGCAUUAGCUAGUUGGUAAGGUAACGGCUUACCAAGGCGACGAUGCGUAGCCGACCUGAGAGGGUGAUCGGCCACCCUGGAACUGAGCCACGGUCCAGACUCCUACGGGAGGCAGCAGUAGGGAAUCUUCCGCAAUGGGCGAAAGCCUGACGGAGCAACGCCGCGUGAGUGAUGAAGGUCUUCGGAUCGUAAAACUCUGUUAUUAGGGAAGAACAAAUGUGUAAGUAACUAUGCACGUCUUGACGGUACCUAAUCAGAAAGCCACGGCUAACUACGUG